UCUUUUCUUUUGAUAAGAGAGUUUUUAAAACCAGUGUUAUUUUUGUAAGUUUAAGAGAAGUUUGUGUAUUGAAUUUUUUAUUUUUAAUAUUAAAGAGCUUUGUUAAACUUAGACUUAAGUUUAGGUCAUUUUGGGGGUUUAGCUCAGUUGGCUAGAGCAUCGGCUUUGCAAGCCGAGGGUCAAGGGUUCGAGUCCCUUAACCUCCAUUGGGCUUAUGUCCUAAAUUGUAAUUAAGUAUGUUUUUAAGCAACUUUGUUAAAGUAAUUGUUGGAAUGUGAAACAGAGGAAGUUAAAAUUUCUGGGUUAAGUUGAGAUCUGUUGAUAUUAAGAAGAAUCUCUAGAAGCAAAAGCAAGCUUUCGAUAAAACCCGAAGUUGUUUCGCUAAAGUGCAAGGAUUAAACAGGAUUGUAUUUUCCAGCAGCCUAUUUUAUAAACGAUCUGCAUUUAGUAAAUAGUUUUUAGUUAAGAAAUAAUGUAGAUUGCUAAGUGUGAUGUC
RNAcentral lists this unclassified non-coding RNA (496 nucleotides) under Borreliella burgdorferi (Lyme disease spirochete). Its description in RNAcentral is "partial 16S-23S ribosomal RNA intergenic spacer". The stretch from base 133 to 206 matches the Rfam family "tRNA". Lineage: Bacteria; Pseudomonadati; Spirochaetota; Spirochaetia; Spirochaetales; Borreliaceae. The record is from RNAcentral.